RNA transcript from Piliocolobus tephrosceles (Ugandan red Colobus), 4022 nucleotides. It is a transcript of the gene named carcinoembryonic antigen-related cell adhesion molecule 1, with no coding region annotated. Lineage: Eukaryota; Metazoa; Chordata; Mammalia; Primates; Cercopithecidae. The transcript is spliced from 9 exons. The record is from RefSeq and is a predicted model, not a curated record.
UCCGGGCCCCAGGGAGGAGGCUCAGCAGAGAGGGUAGAAAACAGCAGAGCUGACAGUCACAGCAGCCCUGCACGAAGCGUUCCUGGAGCCCAAGCUCUCCUCCACAGAUGAAGACAGGGCCAGUAGCAGACACCAUGGGGCACCUCUCAACCCCACUUCACAGAGUGCGUGUCCCCUGGCAGGGGCUUCUGCUCACAGCCUCACUUCUAACCUUCUGGAACCCGCCCACCACUGCCCAGCUCACUAUUGAAUCCAGGCCGUUCAAUGUCACAGAGGGGAAGGAGGUUCUUCUACUUGCCCACAAUCUGCCCCAGAAUACUUUAGGCUUCAGCUGGUACAAAGGGGAAAGAGUAGAUGCCAAACGUCUAAUUGUAGCAUAUGUAAUGGAAACUCAACGAACUACCCCAGGGCCCGCACACAGCGGUCGAGAGACAGUAUACUCCAAUGUAUCCCUGCUGAUCCAGAACGUCACCCAGAAUGACACAGGAUCCUACACCAUACAAGUCAUAAAGGAAGAUUUUGUGAAUGAAGAAGCAACUGGCCAGUUCCGGGUAUAUCCGGAGCUGCCCAAGCCCUACAUCACCAUCAACAACUCCAACCCCGUGGAGGACAAGGAUGCUGUGACCUUAACCUGUGAACCUGAGACUCAAGACACAACCUAUCUGUGGUGGGUAAACAAUCAGAGCCUCACAGUCAGUUCCAGUCUGCAGCUCUCCAAUGGCAACAGGAUCCUCACUCUACUCAGUGUCAUAAGGAAUGACACAGGACCCUAUGAGUGUGAAACACAGAACCCAGUGAGUGCCAACCGCAGUGACCCACUCACCUUGAAUGUCAUCUAUGGCCCGGACACCCCCACCAUUUCCCCUUCAGACACCUAUUACCGUCCAGGGGCAAACCUCAACCUCUCCUGCUCUGCGGCCUCUAACCCACCUGCACAAUAUUCCUGGCUUAUUAAUGAAACAUUCCAGCAAAAUGCACAAGAGCUGUUUAUCCCCAGCAUCACUGUGAAUAAUAGUGGAUCCUAUACCUGCCACGCCAAUAACUCAGUCACUGGCCACAACAGGACCACAAUCAAGACAAUCAUAGUCUCUGAACUAAGUCCAGUAGCACAGCCUCAAAUCAAAGCCAGCAAGACCACAGUCACAGAAGAUAAGGACUCUGUGAACCUGACCUGCUCCACAAAUGACACUGGAAUCUCCAUCAGUUGGUUCUUCAAGGACCAGAGUCUCCCGUCCUCGGAGAGGAUGAAGCGGUCCCAAGACAACGCCACCCUCAGCAUAAACCCUGUCAAGAGAGAGGAUGCUGGGAAGUAUUCAUGUGAGGUCUUCAACCUAAUCAGUAAGAACCGAAGCGACCCCAUCAUGCUCAUCGUAAACUAUAAUGAUCCAGCACAAGAAAAUGGCCUCACAGCUGGGGCCAUUGCUGGCAUUGUGAUUGGAGUACUGGCCCUGGUUGUUCUGAUAGUAGCAGCCCUGGCAUGUUUUCUGCAUUUUGGGAAGAUUGGCGGGGCAAGCGACCAGCGUGAUCUCACAGAGCACAAACCCUCAGUCUCCAACCACAGUCUUCCCACCCUUCCCAGCCACAGGAGUCCCCUGAGACACAUCUGAGGAGAGAGGCUCACUCUGCCUUGGCCAGGCAGGCCUGAGGAAGAUCCCGUGUUUCCAGGAGCCAUUUCCUCAGCCUUACUCCUUCCACCUCCUGCCUCUAUUACGGAUGUGGGCACUCUCCCUUGGUGAGACUUUCCUUGUCUUGUGGGUGCUGUGGGUGCUGCCCCUCCUUGCCACUGGAGCAUGUUGGUGAGAAAUACAUCUGGGUAAAAAUCAAGGCCUUGUGAACUGGUAGAACUCUUCAUAAGUGGAUUGUGGCCUCCUGUGGCUCUACUCCUGCCCUCUCUCUGGUACUAGCGUGCUGGGUCUGGACCAUACACUCUGAGGGAAGCAAAUUCCUUAACUGAUCCUUAAUCUCCCCACCCUCCAACUGCCACCCCCUUCAGCUAGAAUCACCUUAAGUCAGCUUUGCAUUUCCAUGGAUUGCUAACUCUUCUUUUGCUUUUCCAGCUCAGGACCACUCCAAUGACCCACCUAACAAGAUGAAUGAAGUUACUUAUUCUACCCUGAACUUUGAAGCCCAGCAACCCACGCAACCAACUUCAGCCUCCUCAUCCCCAACAGCCACAGAAAUAAUUUAUUCAGAAGUAAAAAAGAAGUAAUGAAACCUGUCCUGCUCACUGCAGUGCUGAUGUCUUUCAAGUCUCUAACCCUCAUCACUAGGAGAUUCCCUUCCCCUGUAGCAGUAGAGGGGUGGAGACAGAAAGAAUUUCCUGCUACUCUUCCUUCCUAAUAGGCACCUCCAGACUGCCUGGUCACAGCCCCUCCCUCAGUGCCAAUAGAUGAAAAGGUACAUUGGGGAGUCUGUAGGAAACCCAACUUUCUUGUCAUUGAAAUUUGGCAAAGCUGACUUUGGGAAAGAGUGGCCAGAACUUCCCCUCCCUUUCCCUUUUCCCCACCUGGACUUGUUUUAAACUUGCCUGUUCAGAGCACUCAUUCCUUCCCACCUCAGUCCUGUCCUAUCACUCUAAUUCGGAUCUGCCAUAGCCUUGAGGUUAUAUCCUUUUCCAUUAAGUACAUGUGCCAGAAAACAAGAGAGAGAGAAAGGCAGUAAUGCCUUCUCCUAUUUCUCCAAAGCCUUGUGUGAACUCACCAAACACAAGAAAAUCAAAUAUAUAACCAAUAGUGAAAUUCCACACCCUUGUCCACUGUCAAGAAUGUCUACCUGUCAGGGUUGUCUACCUGUAGGAUCAGGGUCUAAGCACCUUGGUGCUUAGCUAGAAUACCACCUAAUCCUUCUGGCAAGCCUGUCUUCAGAGAAUCCACUAGAAGCAACUAGGAAAAUCACUUGCCAAAAUCCAAGGCAAUUCCUGAUGGAAAAUGCAAAAGCACAGAUAUGUUUUAAUAUCUUUAUGGGCUCUAUUCAAAGCAGUGCUGAGAGAGAGGGGUUAUAGCUUUAGGAGGGAACCAGCUUCUGAUAAACAAUCUGCUAGGAACUUGGGAAAGGAAUCAGAGAGCUGCCCUUCAGCGAUUAUUUAAAUUAUUGUUAAAGAAUACACAAUUUGGGGUAUUGGGAUUUUUCUCCUUUUCUCUGAGACAUUCCACCAUUUUAAUUUUUGUAACUGCUUAUUUAUGUGAAAAGGGUUAUUUUUACUUAGCUUAGCUAUGUAAGCCAAUCCGAUUGCCUUAUGUGAAAGAAACCACCAAAAUCCCUCAGGUCCCUUGGUCAGGAGCCUCCCAAGGUUUUUUUUGUCAGAGGCUCCAAAUAGAAAAUAAGAAAAGGUUUUCUUCAUUCAUGGCUAGAGCUAGAUUUCACUCGGUUUCUAGGCACCUCAGACCAAUCAUCAACUACCAUUCUGUUCCAUGUUUGCACCUGUGCAUUUUCUGUCUGCCCCCACUCACUUUCUCAGGAAACCUUGGCCUCUGCUAAGGUGUAUUUGGUCCUUGAGAAGUGGGAACACCCUACAGGGACACUAUCACUCAUGCUGGUGGCAUUGUUUACAACUAGAAAGCUGCACUGGUGCUGAUGCCCCUUGAGGAAACAGGGCUGUGAGGAGGAGGAUUGUAACUUAGGCCUAGCCUUUUUUAACAGCCUCUGAAAUUUAUCUUUUCUCCUAUAGGGUCUAUAAAUGUAUCUUAUAAUAAAAAGGAAGGACAGGAGGAAGACAGGCAAAAGUACUUCUCACCCAGUCUUCUACACAGAUGGAAUCUCUUUGGGGCUAAGAGAAAGGUUUUAUUCUAUAUUGCCUACCUGAUCUCAUGUUAGGCCUAAGAGGCUUUUUCCAAGAGGAUUAGCUUGGAGUUCUCUAUACUCAGGUACCUCUUUCAGGGUUUUCUAACCCUGAUAUGGACUGUGCAUACUUUCCCUCAUCCAUGCUAUGCUGUGUUAUUUAAUUUUUCCUGGCUAAGACCAUGUCUGAAUUAUGUAUGAAAACUGUUCUAUGUUUUUAUAAUAAAAAUAAUAUAUCAGACAUC